ACAGUGGAUCUAGAAGUUGGCAUUCAAACUUGCAAAGCUUGGCUGUUCCAUCCAAACAACGGCUGCGACGAACAGAAGCAUCUGUGAGCGGUUCUGCGUAAUCGGCCAUUUCAAAGGUGGAGGCCAAGGAGGUUCUCCUCUCGGACAUGCAAACAAUAAUUACUGAUGACACCAACGUGCACACUAUAAGUCCCCCUCAAUCCCGAUAUAGUUGUGUCACACUCUGCAUUUACAUUAUUAGUAUGUACUAGAUUCUAAAAGUUGAUUCAAGUUUAUAGUGCUUCAAAUCUGAAAGUUGAUAGAGUAAUUUGUCAAUUGAUUUGUACUGUAGUGCUUCAAGACUGAUUGCUCCGUGUUUGAUUCA
Molecule: long non-coding RNA, 364 nt
Organism: Hordeum vulgare subsp. vulgare (domesticated barley)
Lineage: Eukaryota; Viridiplantae; Streptophyta; Magnoliopsida; Poales; Poaceae
Exons: 2
Source: RefSeq, a predicted model, not a curated record